AGAUUGUGUUGAGGACAACUUCUAAGCAAGCCCUUGUUUCUCUCCCACACAUCAUAUAAGGACUUGGAAACCUCUUGUUGAAAAUUAGCAAUCUUUUUCUUGAGCUU
Lactuca sativa (garden lettuce) is the source of this 107-nucleotide small nucleolar RNA. NCBI's taxonomy places the organism in Eukaryota, Viridiplantae, Streptophyta, Magnoliopsida, Asterales, Asteraceae. The record is from RefSeq and is a predicted model, not a curated record.